AGAACGAACGCUGGCGGCAUGCUUAACACAUGCAAGUCGAACGGUGAAGCCCUUCGGGGUGGAUCAGUGGCGAACGGGUGAGUAACACGUGGGCAAUCUGCCCUGCAUUCUGGGACAAGCCUUGGAAACGAGGUCUAAUACCGGAUACGACGCAUCUCCGCAUGGAGUGUGCGUGGAAAGCUCCGGCGAUGCAGGAUGAGCCCGCGGCCUAUCAGCUUGUUUGUGGGGUAAUGGCCUACCAAGGCGACGACGGGUA
Molecule: ribosomal RNA, 256 nt
Filed under: uncultured bacterium
Lineage: Bacteria
Description: partial small subunit ribosomal RNA
Rfam family: Bacterial small subunit ribosomal RNA
Source: RNAcentral